This 73-nucleotide transfer RNA is filed under the name bacterium. RNAcentral describes it as "tRNA-Val". It matches the Rfam family "tRNA". Rfam says of the family: Transfer RNA (tRNA) molecules are approximately 80 nucleotides in length. Their secondary structure includes four short double-helical elements and three loops (D, anti-codon, and T loops). The record is from RNAcentral.
GGGCGGUUAGCUCAGUUGGUAGAGCGCAACAUUGACGUUGUUGAUGCCGUGGGUUCGAGUCCCUCACCGCCCA